This 2905-nucleotide ribosomal RNA is filed under the name Enterobacter asburiae. RNAcentral's name for it is "23S ribosomal RNA". Lineage: Bacteria; Pseudomonadati; Pseudomonadota; Gammaproteobacteria; Enterobacterales; Enterobacteriaceae. The record is from RNAcentral.
GGUUAAGCGACUAAGCGUACACGGUGGAUGCCCUGGCAGUCAGAGGCGAUGAAGGACGUGCUAAUCUGCGAAAAGCGCCGGCGAGGUGAUAUGAACCUUUGACCCGGCGAUGUCCGAAUGGGGAAACCCAGUGCAAUUCGUUGCACUAUCGUUAACUGAAUACAUAGGUUAACGAGGCGAACCGGGGGAACUGAAACAUCUAAGUACCCCGAGGAAAAGAAAUCAACCGAGAUUCCCCCAGUAGCGGCGAGCGAACGGGGAGCAGCCCAGAGUCUGAAUCAGCUUGUGUGUUAGUGGAAGCGUCUGGAAAGUCGCACGGUACAGGGUGACAGUCCCGUACACGAAAGCACACAGGCUGUGAACUCGAAGAGUAGGGCGGGACACGUGGUAUCCUGUCUGAAUAUGGGGGGACCAUCCUCCAAGGCUAAAUACUCCUGACUGACCGAUAGUGAACCAGUACCGUGAGGGAAAGGCGAAAAGAACCCCGGCGAGGGGAGUGAAAAAGAACCUGAAACCGUGUACGUACAAGCAGUGGGAGCACCUUCGUGGUGUGACUGCGUACCUUUUGUAUAAUGGGUCAGCGACUUAUAUUCUGUAGCAAGGUUAACCGUAUAGGGGAGCCGAAGGGAAACCGAGUCUUAACUGGGCGUUAAGUUGCAGGGUAUAGACCCGAAACCCGGUGAUCUAGCCAUGGGCAGGUUGAAGGUUGGGUAACACUAACUGGAGGACCGAACCGACUAAUGUUGAAAAAUUAGCGGAUGACUUGUGGCUGGGGGUGAAAGGCCAAUCAAACCGGGAGAUAGCUGGUUCUCCCCGAAAGCUAUUUAGGUAGCGCCUCGUGAACUCAUCUUCGGGGGUAGAGCACUGUUUCGGCUAGGGGGCCAUCCCGGCUUACCAACCCGAUGCAAACUACGAAUACCGAAGAAUGUUAUCACGGGAGACACACGGCGGGUGCUAACGUCCGUCGUGAAGAGGGAAACAACCCAGACCGCCAGCUAAGGUCCCAAAGUCAUGGUUAAGUGGGAAACGAUGUGGGAAGGCACAGACAGCCAGGAUGUUGGCUUAGAAGCAGCCAUCAUUUAAAGAAAGCGUAAUAGCUCACUGGUCGAGUCGGCCUGCGCGGAAGAUGUAACGGGGCUAAACCAUGCACCGAAGCUGCGGCAGCGACGCGUAUGCGUUGUUGGGUAGGGGAGCGUUCUGUAAGCCGUUGAAGGUGUCCUGUGAGGGGUGCUGGAGGUAUCAGAAGUGCGAAUGCUGACAUAAGUAACGAUAAAGCGGGUGAAAAGCCCGCUCGCCGGAAGACCAAGGGUUCCUGUCCAACGUUAAUCGGGGCAGGGUGAGUCGACCCCUAAGGCGAGGCCGAAAGGCGUAGUCGAUGGGAAACAGGUUAAUAUUCCUGUACUUGGUGUUACUGCGAAGGGGGGACGGAGAAGGCUAUGUUAGCCGGGCGACGGUUGUCCCGGUUUAAGCAUGUAGGCGGAGGUUCCAGGUAAAUCCGGUACCUUUUAACGCUGAGGUGUGAUGACGAGGCACUACGGUGCUGAAGUAACAAAUGCCCUGCUUCCAGGAAAAGCCUCUAAGCAUCAGGUAACAUCAAAUCGUACCCCAAACCGACACAGGUGGUCAGGUAGAGAAUACCAAGGCGCUUGAGAGAACUCGGGUGAAGGAACUAGGCAAAAUGGUGCCGUAACUUCGGGAGAAGGCACGCUGAUAUGUAGGUGAAGCCCCUGCGGGUGGAGCUGAAAUCAGUCGAAGAUACCAGCUGGCUGCAACUGUUUAUUAAAAACACAGCACUGUGCAAACACGAAAGUGGACGUAUACGGUGUGACGCCUGCCCGGUGCCGGAAGGUUAAUUGAUGGGGUUAGCGGCAACGCGAAGCUCUUGAUCGAAGCCCCGGUAAACGGCGGCCGUAACUAUAACGGUCCUAAGGUAGCGAAAUUCCUUGUCGGGUAAGUUCCGACCUGCACGAAUGGCGUAAUGAUGGCCAGGCUGUCUCCACCCGAGACUCAGUGAAAUUGAACUCGCUGUGAAGAUGCAGUGUACCCGCGGCAAGACGGAAAGACCCCGUGAACCUUUACUAUAGCUUGACACUGAACACUGGUCCUUGAUGUGUAGGAUAGGUGGGAGGCUUUGAAGCGUGGACGCCAGUCUGCGUGGAGCCRUCCUUGAAAUACCACCCUUUAAUGGCUGGUGUUCUAACGUAGACCCGUAAUCCGGGUUGCGGACAGUGUCUGGUGGGUAGUUUGACUGGGGCGGUCUCCUCCCAAAGAGUAACGGAGGAGCACGAAGGUUAGCUAAUCCUGGUCGGACAUCAGGAGGUUAGUGCAAUGGCAUAAGCUAGCUUGACUGCGAGAGUGACGGCUCGAGCAGGUGCGAAAGCAGGUCAUAGUGAUCCGGUGGUUCUGAAUGGAAGGGCCAUCGCUCAACGGAUAAAAGGUACUCCGGGGAUAACAGGCUGAUACCGCCCAAGAGUUCAUAUCGACGGCGGUGUUUGGCACCUCGAUGUCGGCUCAUCACAUCCUGGGGCUGAAGUAGGUCCCAAGGGUAUGGCUGUUCGCCAUUUAAAGUGGUACGCGAGCUGGGUUUAGAACGUCGUGAGACAGUUCGGUCCCUAUCUGCCGUGGGCGCUGGAGAAUUGAGGGGGGCUGCUCCUAGUACGAGAGGACCGGAGUGGACGCAUCACUGGUGUUCGGGUUGUCAUGCCAAUGGCACUGCCCGGUAGCUAAAUGCGGAAAAGAUAAGUGCUGAAAGCAUCUAAGCACGAAACUUGCCCCGAGAUGAGUUCUCCCUGACCCUUUAAGRGUCCUGAAGGAACGUUGAAGACGACGACGUUGAUAGGUCGGGUGUGUAAGCGCAGCGAUGCGUUGAGCUAACCGAUACUAAUGAACCGUGAGGCUUAACCUU